RNAcentral lists this long non-coding RNA (449 nucleotides) under Nicotiana benthamiana. RNAcentral's name for it is "long non-coding RNA (NBEN_LNC016736)". The record is from RNAcentral. Lineage: Eukaryota; Viridiplantae; Streptophyta; Magnoliopsida; Solanales; Solanaceae.
UUUCAUAAUAAUGAAAGUCUUCCCAUGAACUCAUGCUCAACUGCACAGUUACACCAGUAUUUAACUCAAGUGAAUACCUGGAUUAGAGAAAUAGGACAGGAGAAGAAAAGGAUCAGCGGUAGCAUAGCAACAAAAGCAAACAGUAACAGUAGUAGCAAAUUGAACACCCAAGGACAGAUUUUAAAACCAACAGAUAUGAUUCCACAUCCAAUAAAUAGAUGCAAAAAUAAUCCAACAGCAACACCAAUAUCAGAAACCCAAGCAGGAACCCAAGAAUUCAAUCUGAAAAUCAGCAGUGCCAAAUGCAAUCAACAGAAGCAGUCACAGGAUUAUGAUUUUUAGCAGUAAAUAUAGACUUCACUUUCAGCUUUUAAUUCUCAAAGACGGAAUUUUAAGUUCUGAAAUUUUUAUUUCCCUCUAGUAUUGAAAUCCAUUUUUUCUCUCUAAUU